GAAUCCUGACACUGUGUGACCAGGUGAUACCAGGAUGAAUGACUAAGAAAAGUAGCAUCCUGUCGCGAGCUUCGUUCCUUUUCGCUCGUCAUUUUUCCUUCGAGAUUGCUUGAUUCGCUGCCAGGAAGAGGAUACGCGACGUCGUGUGAUCACGUGCUUCUAAGAAUUCAUAAUUGACAAUUUUGGCUUCGAAUUCAGUUGUUUACCAAGAAUUUCCUGGCAUAAAGUAACAUAAUUUCCUGAGUGGAAUUUUUAUGGAAUAUCUACGCUCUUUGGCAAAUCAAGAAAAGUGCCGUCGCGAAGGUAAAUCACCUUGUUUAUCUCUAAAAUAACCAAUUAAUCUUCGAAGCUGUUGCAACCAUUGGCUGAAGCUUUUCCUGUUCCACGAACUUGACACCGGUUCCUUGAAAUCGAGACUUGGACUACUGAACACGCCGGUCAGACUGGUUUCCCUCGAACUGGCAAAAGCAAUGAUCGAAGUUCGGCAAGGUUUUUAAAUAUAGCAAGGAAUAAAGGUCAAGGAAAUAUCAGCAAGAUCUAGUCUCGUAUAGAAUUUCUUUACGCAGUUGCCUUCUACUUCGUGCUACAUAUUUAGAUCGACAAACUCAAAACACUGUAGUCGACGCGGCUUACCUACACGAUGAGAUGAAUUUGAAAUUCAUCGUGGCGCGUGGUUCGAAACGAAAACACAGGAAAUUGAUAACUGAAUACCAAUGAAAGGUACGUCUUCGAACGAUGCGUCAAAUGGAGGAAGCAAUAUUUCAAAAACCCUUUUUGAAAAUAAACUCUGACCUGUAAAAUUGCUUCGAAACUCAAGUAUUGAGAUAUAAUAACUGUAAGUUUGAAUAAUAGUCGUGGAAAGCGUCAGAUCAGAGGGGUUAAAGAUUAUGAAGUGCGCUGCAACCCCUAUAAUUCAAAGAAGAGUUAAAAAGAAGAAGAAAAAUUGAAAAUUCCAAGUCAAAUCCAUUUGUUUUCCAUCAGCUUAUCUGAAACUCCUUCGAGCGCUUACUUCUAAGGAAGAAAGGCUCGCCAACGAGGAACUCACCUCAUAAAGUCGGUCCAGUAUCCUUCUUCCUCGAGAACACCGUAUCAACUCAUCGUCACACCACGUGUAUACAAUUUCUUUCGAUCACUCGGUUCAAAGAACGUUCACGUAUUCACUGAACCUCAUGACGCACACGAGCCGCAGCAACUUUCCGAUUUUAUCCUCUCGGUUUCAUGAGUCGCCGUUUCGAAAAAGAGCCGAUGUCUGCCAGCCAAUGGACAGGUCUACACUGCAUCCUAAGGAGGUAUGCGGCCUCUGCUAUGGGAGUGGAAGGAAUGGAGAGAGAACGAGAGAGAAAGAGAAACGGCAGACCGAAGGAGAGGCUACAGUCCGUGCCCAGUAACUGCCGAGCGAAAGGGGGGCGAACCUUUUUGAUUCUUUUGUACCUCGACGUGCCAGGUGAGUCUCUUUCGUGGUUCCAUCAUGGCUCGGAUACUGCCUGGAUGUUGAGGUACGGAAUGGAUCAAGGUGGAUAGGAAUUUUUCUGGCCGACGUAAGUCUUAUCGGUAAUAUGUAACUGGAGACGAAAGAGAAUUAACAAACUGGGACUCUGACAACAGCAGAAUGCUGCAUAGGCGUGGCUCCAAUAAUAAAAUAUGAAGAUUUAGGACUGGAAGUUGACGAGGACAAAAUUUUGCCAUCAGGAGAACGUCUGAUCGGCAAUACUCAACUGGAGACUCAACACUGAAGGAGAAUUAGCAAACUGGGACUCUGGCAACAGCAGAGUACUCCAUAGGCGUGGCUCUAAUAAUAAAAUAUGAAGAUUUAGGACUGGAAGUUGAUGAGAUCAAAAUUUUGCCAUCAGGAGAACGUCUGAUAAUACUUUGCAGACAUGAAUGUUUAUUAGGAAUUUUCCCUAGAGACACAAUUCUUAUCUCAACAUAGUUAGAGAAGUUGACGAAGUCAGAGGCCAAAAUUUUGAUAUCAAAAAGGAGUCUCAUUAAAAAAAAAGAAUUACAUUUUCACAUGUACAAUAAUGGAGUCAUUUACCCCGCGUUGUUCUACCUGAGAUUAGAAAGUUUAGCAGCGGAAAGAAGAAACGCUCUGUAGCAAUCGAAACACUGUAAUCGUCGUGCGAUUCGCGAUGUCUUUCAGCCGGACUCGUUCUUAAUGGCUAUCGUAGCUCCGUUCUCAUCGUUUGAAACGCUUUUGCAAACGAUCUCAAAGCGCUUCUCGUAGGAAAAAAAGAACGUCAGAGGCAAAUGAAUACGUAUCAUCGAGAAUUACAGUGCCCCGUGUAUCGGGUCUAUAUUCUGUAACUGGUUGCGUGUCGUUUUGUGUCUAAUUUGUGCGUAAUUUAUCGUCGAGACCCGUUUUGCGGAACAAGUUUGCCGCGUCCAAGCAUGCGAGUCCACGGUAUGCGGCUUGGAAACACCGAGACAUCCUGCCGGAAGUGGUGGACGACGCUUUUGCGGAAGCCUGGCAAGGUACACGCUAGAGUGUACAGCUUCCUUGCAUCUUCCUUGAGUCUAUCGUUAUUUUGUAAAUAAUGUUUGAGCAGGUUCUUCGAUCUCUGAUAAACAGGAUUUCUUGGAAACGCACGUGAAAUAAUGGGUCUUUUGUAAACUCCUCUCUCCAUGGACGAAUGAUAAACAAAAUCUGAAUACAUGAAAUAUUAAUUAAUUUUUCACUGACGACCGAUAGCACAAAUUUUAUCAAAUCUUAAUAAUAGUAACCCUCAAGUGUAAUGAAAUUUAGAAUACCUCCCACGCUUUCUCGAAAUUCAAAACACGUUCACCACUUACGCUUCUAUCUCGCUGUUUACAUCAUUGUUGCGUUAGAAAACACGGAACUAGAGGUGUAACAACGAGUGUACACGCUGGAAACCGCACACGUGCGAGCACAUCAAGCGUGACUGCGAGCCUGUUCGCGGCGAACUCUUCGCGGAUUUCUCGCUGAUCCGACUCGAAAGGUUUCGUCCUGAAUGCGAGGCGAGCACGCAACCAAUAGUAGGCUACCAGGGUGCGACGUUCAAAUGUCCCUGGCUCCUCUUUUUCCAUAGAAACGAAAUGGAAAGAGAAGGCGAGACGAAUGACACUAGAGAAGAAAAUGUAGAAAUUGAAAAAAAUUAUAGCAUUUGAAUUAAAACAUUUCUGCAGAUGUUCUAUUGAUUAUAUUUUCCUCAUUUGUAUGGAUGAAUGUGAAAUUCAUUAUGCACGAAUGCAUGAGAAAAUAAUGAAGAGAAAUAGGAAAAUAGGAUAUGCAGAAUGAGGUAGACGAAUAGCUGUUUGGAUUAUAAUGAAUCUCUGAUCUGUGUGAGAUUCCUGAGUGGAACAAUAUGAGUAAUGAUCGAAGGUAAUAAUAGAUAUUUACAUAGAGUCAAAAGGGUUCAACAAGAUUGGAAUAGGAAGAAGGAUCUUCAGACAGACGGAAGUGAAACCCGUUUCCAGUAUACUUCCUCAAUUAAUUCUUCUUCUAUUAAAUCACGAAGUGAAAGUAACAGAGAUCACCCACGCCAUAGCAUCGGGUAACAACCAUCAAAAUUAUAUCUCAGCUGCAAUGGAAUAUGUAACUUCGGAGCGUGAAAACAGCUUUCCACCUUGAUCCUUGUAGUUCUACGAUUCUUCGCGCGCGUCAAUGAUCAUACAAUGGAGAACACAAGGAUCCGUGACUGGUGGAAAGGUCGUGUAAAUAGGAUAUCGAGAAGGAGGACAUUAAAAGAGGGAAAAGGAGAAGGAAACGAGCAGAGAAGGACGUUUCUGGAAAGACGAGAAGGGGACGUGUACAGUUACCAAUGGCCGAACCGAGCAACUUCACCUUCCACGACGUCUUGGACUACUCUGAAAACUCGGACGAACAUUGUUUUCCCCUUUACUAGCACGUUUCCACUUGCAUCCUCUUGAUUGACGAAGAGAAACGUCGUUUCGCUACGAACAGCAUGAUUCUCUUGGAAAAUAAGGAAUGCUUCGUUAAACGUUCUUAUCUUCGAAGUAAUCCUCGACUGGCGAACAUCUGAAGGUCAGGACAUUCUCAGCGAAGUACUUUUACCAGCAGCGCUAUUUUUGCAUCUGUAAAUGUCAGUCUAACGCUUUUGAAGAAAUAUAAAUGAAAUAAAUAUUAAUUGCAGAUGUAUAAUAUUCAAGUCUAUUCAAGGUAUUAUUUUAUGAAGAAAAUCCCAGUGGAGAAUUGUAAUUUAAAAAAGGAAGGCCGGUGUCACGUGCAGCACAAUGACAGCCACACAAGCGAUCGCAAUUGCACGCUCGUACAGGUCCGCGUGGUUACGGAGCAAGAGGAAGAAAGCCGUGGGAUAAGACGUUUGUUGCACAAAGAUCAACCUCUUCUUUUCUCUUUCCUUUUAUUGGCGAGGUUUUGCUUGCUCCUUGUCACGGGAGGUCUGGGAAAACUCCCGUGAACUAUAUGAAAACACGACUGCUGCCAGUUAGUUAACCCACUUCUCACGACGCGCACCUUUUGCAGGCGAAACCUUUUAAGGUGAUCAGUUACGUUAUUGCAGUGCCAAAGUAGCAAGAUUAUUCUAGCAAAUGUAAAUAAAAUAUUUCUGAAUACGUUUUUGAAAAAAUGAUCACCUGUGAAUAUGUUUCCUAAUGAAAGAAA
Non-coding RNA from Osmia lignaria (orchard mason bee), 4600 nucleotides. NCBI's taxonomy places the organism in Eukaryota, Metazoa, Arthropoda, Insecta, Hymenoptera, Megachilidae. The record is from RefSeq and is a predicted model, not a curated record.